This is an RNA transcript of Cryptomeria japonica (Japanese cedar), 3883 nucleotides long. RefSeq lists it as uncharacterized. The record is from RefSeq and is a predicted model, not a curated record. The transcript has 3 exons. NCBI's taxonomy places the organism in Eukaryota, Viridiplantae, Streptophyta, Pinopsida, Cupressales, Cupressaceae.
AAACUACUCUAAAUUCCGGCAAGUAUUCCGCAUGCAAACUAAGUAUUCCACUCCUUUCCCUAAAAACUAGUUUGAAAUUUUAUCCUACUAGAAGCAUUUAUAUAUUCCUGGCAGGCGUAUCGUCUACCCACUUCUCACUGAUAUACUCUUAAUAACUUCCGUGCAUUACAUUUGCAUUUGAAAUCUGGUAAGAAUAUUUCACACAGUGCGACAUAUGAUUUCAUGUAUAGCGAGUAAAGUAUCUCCCAUAAUAUUUGUACUAUUUCAAAAUUGACAUAUUAAGUUGGAGUCAGUUUGCAACGAUUCCCACAGUACAAAAUUAUGCGAUGAAUAGACACGUCUGCCAGAAGUUGGGGAUUCACGCUUGUUUUGCGUGCAAUACAGGUUUUCUAUUUUGACAUUUUGGAUUGGUCACACACAGAAUUGCCCAAAAUGUACCUAAAAUGGCAACGUUUCAAGGAUUUCUCUGAAUAAUCUCCACAGGUGGAGCUGUGAAAUUGAAGGACUUGUUAGUGUAUGGGGUAUAAUGUACGCAACUUUUAUAACGCUUCACCUUAGACGAUAUUAGCUACAUAAUGGACCUGUGCAUAUUUGAUUGUGCAUAAUGGCACUACUAUUGUGAAUACAUGUUUUUCUUUUUAAAUAAUAGAGGGUUUUGAAGAAGUUGGUGGGCGGUGUUGUCUUAUUAAUCAAUAAAGAUGCACUACAGACCGAGAAGGAACAUGGUGCCAGAAGAACAUCGUUUUAUUAGGAAACAUUUCAUGGCUAGCAGUGACAAGCUUAAUGAUGAAAUGGGUACAUCAAUGGCUAACAUAAACCAAGGGUAUGGGAAUGAGUAUUCUGCAAAAGGGAAGAAAGUGGGUUCUGGCAGCACGAAGAAUAUGUUAGGAGGGGGGCCAUCUACAAGCUGGUUCUCUGGAGCUGAGGACAAGUUGAUUGAAUUGUCAAGUCCAAGUGUGAAAAUCCGUGAUCCUCUUCCUGUGGGGUAUGUUUCGUUAAGGCAGUUGAAAUGUUUAAGAGAAGCUGAAACCAGCAAGGAAUCUGGGUCAGAGAUGACACACACACCGACAGUUUUUAGCGAAUCCCAAACAAAUAAAGAUACGGGUACAGAUGAAAAAGGAGUGAAAUUGAAUGUGGAUAUGGGUAUUGGAGAUGGGAAUCUAGAUAAAAAGGAAGUGAAACAAACAAGAAUUCAAGAGGGUGUUCCAGAUAAAAGUCAAGACAACCAGAGUGGGAACUCAGGAGCAUGUAAAGAGCAGAUAGGUAAAAGUGGCAAAAACAAUAACGACGGGAGAAGUAAUUUCAAGGAAUCAUUGCAUGGCAGUGUUUAUAGUAGGGAUAGGAAAAAGGAAUAUGAGGGGAACAGGAAAGCAUUUCGUGUUUGCAAGCAGGACUUGGUGUAUAUCAGCAAGACAAAGCUUCCAAGUGAGCCUCUCUUAAAAAUACAUGGCACAUCCUCCACUAACAGGACUGAAGAGUCGGGAGAGUCCAGCCACGCCAAAUCAGUGUCUGAUAUUCCCAGAGCGUCAGGAGAGAUGUCCCAACAAGAAGGAGAAAUUGGGAAUCCGAGAGCAAUCAAGAGGGAGGCUUCCUCUCGACGGGAAGUAUAUGGCGAGCAUAAAUUUAAUGGGGCUAUCGUAGACCAGGUACGGAAAUGGAGUGUAAAGACGUCUCCAGAGGCAUCAAGAGGGAUUUCAAAUGAUUUGCACACUUACCGUAGGUCAGAUGCUCCUCCUCUUAGAGGAACUUCUGCUUCAAAAGGAAAUGCUGAAAGAUCCAAUCAAGGUAGAGAGAGUUUUGAGAAUUCAAAAGAAGUUGGAGGCCCUGGAACUGGAAGGCUUGGUUUUCUUGUGAUGGGAAAUAAUGGAGAAGGGGAGAAUGAUUUGCAAAAUGUGAAGGUUCAAGGUGAAGUUGCGAAAGAACUUGGAGAAAAGGGUAAUUUUGUAUGCAAUACAUUUUAUCAAAACCAAAGUGUGAAAAUUCAAGAUUCACCUUCUCUAGGAUAUGUUCCAUUAAAGCAAUUGCAGCUUUCAAAAGAAUAUGAAAGAAGGAAGGAGCGUGGAUCAAAGAUUUAUAUUUCAAAUCAAGAUACUUGCACAAUUUUUAACAAGUCCUUAAGAGAUAAGGAGAGUUCCUCAGAUAAAAAUGAACAAAAAGGGAAUGGGGACACAUGCAUUGGAGAUGAAGCUUUAGAUAAGAAUGAUGAAAUCCAAACAGGGGGUUCAAGAAUUGAACAUGUAGCCUCAAACAAAGAUGAACAAAGAGAAACUAGAAAUUUAGAAGCAUCUAAAGAACUUUUAGGUAAGAAUAGCAAAAAAUUUGGAACUUUCAGAAUGAAUGUUAAAGCAUCAUCACAUGAUAGUAUCGAAGUAAGUAGGAAACAAGAGCAACAUGUUCGAAGGAAGAAUAUUGAGGCGUCUCAGCAGAGGAACCAAAAUAUUCUACCUAAAGAGGCCUCUACUUCAGCAGGGACUAUUUCAAGGGUUAUUCAAGGCAGAGAUUGUUUUGAAUUUACAAAAGAAAUAGGAGGAAAUGGAAAUGGAAAUAAUGGUUUUCUUGGAACUGGGACUGAUAUGAAAGGGGAAGAUGAUCCGAGUCAUGUAGAAAAUCAAUAUUUCGAGUCUGAAGAUCUUGGAGAGGAGGUUGUUUCUGUAUCACAUAUAUUUAGUCCAAACUUAAACGGGAAAAUUCAAGGUUCUCUUCCCUCACGAUAUGUUGCAUUAAAGCAACUACAAAGCUCAAAAGAAUCUGAGACCAGGAAGGACUGUGGAUUGAAGAUUUGCAUUCCAAAACAAAACACACACAGAAUUUAUAAUAAACUUCAAAGAAAUAAAGACUAUACAGGAAUAGGAAAUACAACUUUAGAUAGCAAUCAAAUGAGACAAACAGAGAACUUAGUUAUUGAAGACAGGUCUUUAGAUAAAAAUAAAGAAACUGAGAAUUUGAGAGUAUUUAAGGGACAGAGAUGUAAAAGUGGCCAAAUAUAUGAAAGUGUCUUGAUGGACAGGCAAACAGCUGCUAGAGGAUCAUUGCAUGGUAGCGUUGAAAUGUGCAGUAAGGAACUGGAACAACAUGGUGACAAGAAAGAAGUCCAGCCUUUGCAGAAGGGGAACCGAGACAAUUACAGAAGAUAUCUACCUAAAGGGACUUAAGACUACCGUAGGGAUCCAUCAUGGCAGAGAGAGUUUUGAAAGUGCAAAAUUAACUGGAGAUAUGGUAAUGGAGGGCAUGGUUGUCUUGGAGAAUUCUUCUCAACCAUUUUUCAACAUGGUAUCGGAUUAUGUAAUGGCUCUGUUCCUGUAAGUGGAAAAUCCACUUAGGCAAGUUGAGAGCAUGGCAAAAUUCCCAUGGCAAUGGGGUUCAGUAUGAAGAUAUGGAGAAGUUACAUCCUGUACCAUACAAAGAGAUAAUUUUGUCUACAAGACAAUCGCCACGAAAACUCUCUGAUUGGGGUUGUUUUAAAGGCCUUUGAUGAGAGUAUAGUCUUUGUCAGCGAAUUGUAGACUUUAGUCUCCAGCUGUUUUCUUACAAGUCUUGGAUGGUUAUAAAUUCCCUUGGGCAUCUUUUGACAUGUACAUUGAACUGAAGAAUGCCAUGUGCAUUUUGAAUGUGAUUCUGUCAUGACUACUACACAAACCUAACAAAGAGAAAGCUGUAUAUGUUUUAACGUCUUUUUAAAUUCUUUGUUUUGUGCAUGGACAUUGUGAUAUAUUUUCCCUGUCGUGAAGGCUGGGAAAUUUCAGGAGUUGUGUUUGCUAAUGUUGAGGUACAGAUUUUUCUGACAACUUUGUUUUACAAGCUUUGUUGCUUAUGAGGGAAAUUGUUAAAAAAAGAAUUGUGCAGCAGUAAAAAUCAAACAUUUUGAAAGGAAAGUAGGAAAAUU